GCGGACGGGUGAGUAACACGUGGAUAACCUACCUAUAAGACUGGGAUAACUUCGGGAAAACGGAGCUAAUACCGGAUAAUAUAUUGAACCGCAUGGUUCAAUAGUGAAAGACGGUUUUGCUGUCACUUAUAGAUGGAUCCGCGCCGCAUUAGCUAGUUGGUAAGGUAACGGCUUACCAAGGCAACGAUGCGUAGCCGACCUGAGAGGGUGAUCGGCCACACUGGAACUGAGACACGGUCCAG
RNAcentral lists this ribosomal RNA (242 nucleotides) under uncultured Staphylococcus sp. Its description in RNAcentral is "partial 16S ribosomal RNA". It matches the Rfam family "Bacterial small subunit ribosomal RNA", at positions 98 to 334 of the family's 1533-position model. Lineage: Bacteria; Bacillati; Bacillota; Bacilli; Caryophanales; Staphylococcaceae. The record is from RNAcentral.